RNAcentral lists this ribosomal RNA (253 nucleotides) under uncultured bacterium. RNAcentral's name for it is "partial 16S ribosomal RNA". It matches the Rfam family "Bacterial small subunit ribosomal RNA", at positions 524 to 776 of the family's 1533-position model. The record is from RNAcentral.
GACGUAGGGCGCGAGCGUUGUCCGGAUUUAUUGGGCGUAAAGAGCUCGUAGGCGGCUUGUCGCGUCGACCGUGAAAACUUGGGGCUCAACCGCAAGCUGGCGGUCGAUACGGGCAGGCUGGAGUUCGGUAGGGGAGACUGGAAUUCCUGGUGUAGCGGUGAAAUGCGUAGAUAUCGGAAGGAACGCCGGUGGCGAAAGCGACGUGCUGGACCCCUUCUGACGCUCAUGCACGAAAGCGUGGGGAGCAAACAGG